UAGCUGAAAUUGCUGCCCCGCGUGAGGGUUUCUUCCGCCGCCGUGCCUCCAUCCGUCCACCGCCGCCGUCCCUCCCACUCUGCGGCAUCCUUCCUCGAUCCGCGGUCGUCAAAUCAAAUCAAGACGAGAUCGGCAGGAUACACCGUAUCUCGCGCGACACCCAGCUGCAGCUGCCCGUGAGAUACAACCAUCAAUCUCGACGAGUUCCCGACGAUCAGAUCCAGGAUGCGGUGGACGACGGUGGCGAGAAGUGGCUAGAUGAAGGUCGCAUGGCCGUGUGCGGGUGGGCAGUCAGCACAAGAGGAGCAGCAGCGAUGUGUAUCUCAUCCUGCGGGGGGACAAGGAGGAUGGGAUGGAGCCUCCUGCAGUGGAGGACGACGAAGGGGCGUGGCGCCGCCCCUCCUCAGUGGAGGACGAUGACAAGGAGAUGCCGACGGCGUGAGAUUCCAAUUGAGACUUGCAGCGGCGGCAAAGUGAGGGCACGUGGCGACAGCGGAUCGAAAGCCACGGCAGCAGAUCGGUACCUUUGACUUUUUGGUGAAGCGAAGAAGUGAAGGACUAUCCUUCCUUUCAUACCUAAAAUGACCUGGAGCUUGAAGACAACAAGGGGCCAUAGGAUAUCCAUAGGAUUCAUGGAAAAACAUUCUUCUAUGAUUUUCUCCCCGAAACUGAAAUUAUUUCGCCCCUAAAUUCAAAUCCUUUUGAGAGAGUGAGUAUUUAUGAGUAUGCUCUAUUGAUGUGACAAACUUGAAUACAACAAGGACUGGAAAGUAACUGCAUUUCUCACCCUUCCACUUAUAUUCAAGGCAACAUCAAACUUCAGUCAGAAGAACAUGACCAGGCAGGGAGCUUCCUACAACACUGGAUGUGAGAAAGUUUGGCAUUAGCAAGUGCGGCCACCACUCUGCCCCUCCCCUUUGCACUAUCCUUGGCUACCUUGUUGCUCACUUCGUGUGUGGCCACUUCAUCCCCAACCUAUCAGAGCAGAGUCUGGUAGACUGGUGGACAAAAGACUACACCAGUUUCAGUUUCAUGUCUUGUACGGUUGGAACUUACAAAAUUUAUUAUGUUCAGUGC
RNAcentral lists this ribosomal RNA (1077 nucleotides) under Triticum aestivum (bread wheat). Its description in RNAcentral is "partial small subunit ribosomal RNA". Lineage: Eukaryota; Viridiplantae; Streptophyta; Magnoliopsida; Poales; Poaceae. The record is from RNAcentral.